GAUCCUGGCUCAGGACGAACGCUGGCGGCGUGCCUAAUACAUGCAAGUAGAACGCUGAAGAGAGGAGCUUGCUCUUCUUGGAUGAGUUGCGAACGGGUGAGUAACGCGUGGGUAACCUGCCUUGUAGCGGGGGGAUAACUAUUGGAAACGAUAGCUAAUACCGCAUAACAAUGAAUGACUCAUGUCAUUUAUUUGAAAGGGGCAAUUGCUCCACUACAAGAUGGACCUGCGUUG
RNAcentral lists this ribosomal RNA (234 nucleotides) under uncultured bacterium. RNAcentral describes it as "partial 16S ribosomal RNA". It matches the Rfam family "Bacterial small subunit ribosomal RNA", at positions 15 to 238 of the family's 1533-position model. The record is from RNAcentral.